UACGUAGGGUGCGAGCGUUGUCCGGAAUUAUUGGGCGUAAAGAGCUCGUAGGCGGUCUGUCGCGUCUGCUGUGAAAUCCCGAGGCUCAACCUCGGGCUUGCAGUGGGUACGGGCAGGCUAGAGUGCGGUAGGGGAGACUGGAAUUCCUGGUGUAGCGGUGAAAUGCGCAGAUAUCAGGAGGAACACCGAUGGCGAAGGCAGGUCUCUGGGCCACUACUGACGCUGAGAAGCGAAAGCGUGGGGAGCGAACAGG
This 253-nucleotide ribosomal RNA is filed under the name uncultured bacterium. RNAcentral describes it as "partial 16S ribosomal RNA". It matches the Rfam family "Bacterial small subunit ribosomal RNA", at positions 524 to 776 of the family's 1533-position model. The record is from RNAcentral.